CUCAGUUCAGAUUGCAGGCUGCAACUCGCCUGCAUGAAGUCGGAAUUGCUAGUAAUCGCAGAUCAGCAUGCUGCGGUGAAUACGUUCCCGGGCCUUGUACACACCGCCCGUCACACCAUGGGAGUCGGUAACACCCGAAGUCGGUAGCCUAACCGUAAGGAGGGCGCCGCCGAAGGUGGGAUUGAUGACUGGGGUGAAGUCGUAACAAGGUAGC
Molecule: ribosomal RNA, 214 nt
Filed under: uncultured bacterium
Lineage: Bacteria
Description: partial 16S ribosomal RNA
Rfam family: Bacterial small subunit ribosomal RNA
Source: RNAcentral